RNAcentral lists this ribosomal RNA (436 nucleotides) under uncultured bacterium. Its description in RNAcentral is "bacterial SSU rRNA". It matches the Rfam family "Bacterial small subunit ribosomal RNA", at positions 28 to 507 of the family's 1533-position model. The record is from RNAcentral.
GAUGAACGCUGGCGGUAUGCCUAACACAUGCAAGUCGUACGAGAGUUUUUAACUCUAGUGGCGGACGGGUGAGUAACACGUGAGAAUUUGCCUUUAGGAGGGGGAUAACAAUUGGAAACGAAUGCUAAUACCCCAUAUGCUUUUGAGUGAAAUGGAUUUUAUCCGCCUAGAGAGAAGCUCGCGGCUGAUUAGCUUGUUGGUAAGGUAAGAGCUUACCAAGGCGACGAUCAGUAUCUGGUUUGAGAGGACGAUCAGACACACUGGAACUGAGACACGGUCCAGACUCCUACGGGAGGCAGCAGUGGGGAAUUUCCGCAAUGGGCGAAAGCCUGACGGAGCAAUACCGCGUGAGGGAAGAAUGCCUAUGGGUUGUAAAGCUCUUUUACCCGAGAUGAUAAUGACAGUAUCGGGAGAAUAAGCUCCGGCUAACUCCGUG